AGUGAACGCUGGCGGUAGGCCUAACACAUGCAAGUCGAACGGCAGCACAGGAGAGCUUGCUCUCUGGGUGGCGAGUGGCGGACGGGUGAGGAAUACAUCGGAAUCUACUCUGUCGUGAGGGAUAACGUAGGGAAACUUACGCUAAUACCGCAUACGACCUACGGGUGAAAGCAGGGGAUCUUCGGACCUUGCGCGAUUGAAUGAGCCGAUGUCGGAUUAGCUAGUUGGCGGGGUAGAGGCCCACCAAGGCGACGAUCCGUAGCUGGUCUGAGAGGAUGAUCAGCCACACUGGAACUGAGACACGGUCCAGACUCCUACGGGAGGCAGCAAUGGGGAAUAUUGGACAAUGGGCGCAAGCCUGAUCCAGCCAUACCGCGUGGGUGAAGAAGGCCUUCGGGUUGUAAAGCCCUUUUGUUGGGAAAGAAAUCCAGCUGGCUAAUACCCGGUUGGGAUGACGGUACCCAAAGAAUAAGCACCGGCUAACUUCGUGCCAGCCGCCGCCGUAA
RNAcentral lists this ribosomal RNA (506 nucleotides) under uncultured bacterium. Its description in RNAcentral is "partial 16S ribosomal RNA". It matches the Rfam family "Bacterial small subunit ribosomal RNA", at positions 29 to 523 of the family's 1533-position model. The record is from RNAcentral.